GACGAACGCUGGCGGCGUGCCUAAUACAUGCAAGUAGAACGCUGAAGAGAGGAGCUUGCUCUUCUUGGAUGAGUUGCGAACGGGUGAGUAACGCGUAGGUAACCUGCCUGGUAGCGGGGGAUAACUAUUGGAAACGAUAGCUAAUACCGCAUAAACUGGAUUAUCGCAUGAUAAUCCAUUGAAAGGUGCAAAUGCAUCACUACCAGAUGGACCUGCGUUGUAUUAGCUAGUUGGUGGGGUAACGGCUCACCAAGGCGACGAUACAUAGCCGACCUGAGAGGGUGAUCGGCCACACUGGGACUGAGACACGGCCCAGACGCCUACGGGAGGCAGCAGUAGGGAAUCUUCGGCAAUGGACGGAAGUCUGACCGAGCAACGCCGCGUGAGUGAAGAAGGUUUUCGGAUCGUAAAGCUCUGUUGUAAGAGAAGAACGAGUGUGAGAGUGGAAAGUUCACACUGUGACGGUAUCUUACCAGAAAGGGACGGCUAACUACGUG
Molecule: ribosomal RNA, 497 nt
Filed under: uncultured bacterium
Lineage: Bacteria
Description: partial 16S ribosomal RNA
Rfam family: Bacterial small subunit ribosomal RNA
Source: RNAcentral